ACUCAAAUGAAUUGACGGGGGCCCGCACAAGCAGCGGAGCGUGUGGUUUAAUUCGAUGCAACGCGCAGAACCUUACCGGGGUUUGACAUGUGCAGGAAAGCCCCAGAGAUGGGGUCCUCCUUCGGGACCUGUGCACAGGUGCUGCAUGGCUGUCGUCAGCUCGUGCCGUGAGGUGUUGGGUUAAGUCCCGCAACGAGCGCAACCCUCGCCAGUAGUUGCAUGUUUCUACUGGGACCGCUGCGCAAAACGCAGAGGAAGGUGGGGAUGAUGUCAAGUCAUCAUGGCCCUGAUGCCCCGGGCUACACACACGCUACAAUGGGCGGUACAGACGGUCGCCAACCCGCGAGGGGGAGCUAAUCCGACAAAGCCGUCCUCAGUCCAGAUUGCAGGCUGCAACUCGCCUGCAUGAAGACGGAGUUGCUAGUAACCGCAGGUCAGCACACUGCGGUGAAUACGUUCCCGGGCCUUGUACACACCGCCCGU
RNAcentral lists this ribosomal RNA (483 nucleotides) under uncultured bacterium. RNAcentral's name for it is "partial 16S ribosomal RNA". It matches the Rfam family "Bacterial small subunit ribosomal RNA", at positions 899 to 1397 of the family's 1533-position model. The record is from RNAcentral.